Long non-coding RNA from Sapajus apella (tufted capuchin), 329 nucleotides. RefSeq lists it as uncharacterized. The transcript has 3 exons. The record is from RefSeq and is a predicted model, not a curated record. NCBI's taxonomy places the organism in Eukaryota, Metazoa, Chordata, Mammalia, Primates, Cebidae.
UUAUAGAGCCGAUAGGGCAAGGGGAAGUAGUUAGAUUUGAGCUGUCCUAAUGAGACACUGCUCCAGGUUGCUGCCUUCUCCAGAGAAGAGAUCCUAGGAGAGAGGAACUGUGAGAUGAAGAAACAGAGACAAGUUAUUUGGCUGAAAAGAUGUGAAAGUGGGCUGAGCAUCCAGACAGUGUGGCUCUGGAGUCCACGAGCCACAUCCCUCUACAUCGCUGCUAUAAAGGAUAAUUCUCCAGAAAAAAAUAAAUAUUAUUUGGGGCCAAAAGACAACUCAGAGAAACAUUGUUUCAGCUAUGUCAGACAGUAAAGAUUUUGACUAUGAAA